RNAcentral lists this ribosomal RNA (490 nucleotides) under uncultured bacterium. Its description in RNAcentral is "partial 16S ribosomal RNA". It matches the Rfam family "Bacterial small subunit ribosomal RNA", at positions 30 to 507 of the family's 1533-position model. The record is from RNAcentral.
AUUGAACGCUGGCGGCAUGCCUUACACAUGCAAGUCGAACGGCAGCAUGAUCUCGCUUGCUAGAUUGAUGGCGAGUGGCGAACGGGUGAGUAAUACAUCGGAACGUGCCCUGUAGUGGGGGAUAACUAGUCGAAAGAUUAGCUAAUACCGCAUACGACCUGAGGGUGAAAGUGGGGGACCGCAAGGCCUCAUGCUAUAGGAGCGGCCGAUGUCUGAUUAGCUAGUUGGUGAGGUAAAGGCUCACCAAGGCGACGAUCAGUAGCUGGUCUGAGAGGACGAUCAGCCACACUGGGACUGAGACACGGCCCAGACUCCUACGGGAGGCAGCAGUGGGGAAUUUUGGACAAUGGGCGAAAGCCUGAUCCAGCAAUGCCGCGUGUGUGAAGAAGGCCUUCGGGUUGUAAAGCACUUUUGUCCGGAAAGAAAUGGCUCUGGUUAAUACCUGGGGUCGAUGACGGUACCGGAAGAAUAAGAACCGGCUAACUACGUG